RNAcentral lists this ribosomal RNA (963 nucleotides) under Triticum aestivum (bread wheat). RNAcentral describes it as "partial small subunit ribosomal RNA". Lineage: Eukaryota; Viridiplantae; Streptophyta; Magnoliopsida; Poales; Poaceae. The record is from RNAcentral.
AUGGAUUUCGCUAAGUUCGGCGUGGCGCUCCGUCUCCGCUGGAUGUGGUUAGCUUGGCAAGACCCAACUAGGCCAUGGGUGUGUGGGCCGCUCCCAUGCAAUUCGAAGGAGGAAGAGCUUUUUGCAAUGGCAAUGGAAAUCUCACUUGGUGAUGGUGCACGGGCCAGAUUUUGGCAGGAUAGAUGGUUGAAAGGGCAGUGCCCCAAAGUUAUUGCACCAUCCCUUUUUGCUGCCUCCACAAGGAAGAAUAGGACGGUUCGUGAGGCUUUGGCAAACGAGCGGUGGCUCUUGGACCUUGCAACGGGUCUCACAGUAGACAUGCUUCAUGAGCUUGCAGCGUUGGCAGGCCUGCUGGACGACGUGGAGCUUCGGCAGGAUCAGCCGGACACCAUCCGAUGGAGGUUCGCGUCUGAUGGCAAAUAUACUGCCCGUUCAGCCUACUUGAUUCAGUUUGAGGGAUCGAUCCCCCUUAAUGGCCAUCAGCUAAUUUGGUCUGCAUGGGCGCCGGGGAAAUGCAGAUUCUUCAUGUGGAUUGUCUUUCUUGGCAAAAUUCUCACGGCUGACGCUCUCCUACGUCGGGGUUGGGAGAACUGCUACUUCUGCCCUUUGUGUGUGCGCAACCUGAAAACCCCCUUCCACCUCCUCGUGGAUUGUCCGUGGUCUAGAUCCAUCUGGGACGGCAUUGCGUCGAUGGCCAAUUUUCCGUCACUGAACACGGCCACAUGGAGCGCCACCUCCGUCUUCAAGGACUGGAUGUUGGAGCGCAACGCGCUGACGCCGCCGGCGAGAAGAAAGGGCUUGAUCUCUCUCGUUCAUCUGACGGCGUGGGAGAUUUGGCGUGAGAGAAACCGACGGCUAUUCCAGCAGGAGGCAAUGACUAAAGCUGCGUUCAAGCUCAAGGUCAUGGAUGAAAUCAAGAUGUGGAACAUGGCCGGUGCUGGCAUACCUUUUGACCCAGGCUGA